UUCCCUACGGGAGGCAGCAGUGAGGAAUAUUGGUCAAUGGGCGGUAGCCUGAACCAGCCAAGUAGCGUGAAGGAUGAAGGUUCUAUGGAUUGUAAACUUCUUUUAUAAAGGAAUAAAGUGAGGCACGUGUGCCUUUUUGUAUGUACUUUAUGAAUAAGCAUCGGCUAACUCCGUGCCAGCAGCCGCGGUAAUACGGAGGAUGCGAGCGUUAUCCGGAUUUAUUGGGUUUAAAGGGUGCGUAGGUGGUUAAUUAAGUCAGCGGUGAAAGUUUGUGGCUCAACCAUAAAAUUGCCGUUGAAACUGGU
This 305-nucleotide ribosomal RNA is filed under the name uncultured bacterium. RNAcentral describes it as "bacterial SSU rRNA". It matches the Rfam family "Bacterial small subunit ribosomal RNA", at positions 335 to 637 of the family's 1533-position model. The record is from RNAcentral.